GAUGAACGCUGGCGGCGUGCCUAAUACAUGCCAGUCGAGCGAACGGACGAGAAGCUUGCUUCUCUGAUGUUAGCGGCGGACGGGUGAGUAACACGUGGAUAACCUACCUAUAAGACUGGGAUAACUUCGGGAAACCGGAGCUAAUACCGGAUAAUAUUUUGAACCGCAUUGUUCAAAAGUGAAAGACGGUCUUUCUGUCACUUAUAGAUGGAUCCGCGCUGCAUUAGCUAGUUGGUAAGGUAACGGCUUACCAAGGCAACGAUGCAUAGCCGACAUGAGAGGGGGAUCGGACAAACGGGAAGUGAGACACGGUCCAGACUCCGACGGGAGGCAGCAGUAGGGAAUAUUCCGCAAUGGGCGAAAGCAUGACGGAGCAACGCCGCGUGAGUGAUGAAGGUCUUCGGAUCGUAAAACUCUGUUAUUAGGGAAGAACAAAUGUGUAAGUAAAUGUGCACAUAAUGACGGUACCUAAUCAGAAAGCCACGGCUAACUACGUG
RNAcentral lists this ribosomal RNA (497 nucleotides) under uncultured bacterium. Its description in RNAcentral is "partial 16S ribosomal RNA". It matches the Rfam family "Bacterial small subunit ribosomal RNA", at positions 28 to 507 of the family's 1533-position model. The record is from RNAcentral.